CCCAAGGGAGGCCUAUCAGAACAUCAGAGGGUGAGCAGGGCUCUGCUCCAAACAAAAACAAACCCAAAAACAUCCAAAAAGAAAACCCAAAAACACUCCUCAGAGAUGCUGCUGAUAGGCCAGCCUUGGGGGUCAUGCAUCCUCGGGUGAGAAUCACUGGGGGGAAGGGCAGGUGGAGAGCUGGGCAGAGAGGUGAAGGGUGAGCAGAUGAGCCCCUGGGUGUGGCAGAGGGAGGCAUCAGAGUCCAGACUGUCAGACAUGUAGGCAAAGGACCCAGGACCAGGCAGACAGUGAGCAAAUGGAUGUAGCAAACAAGGCACCUGAAUGAUGGUGGGGGGCUGGGUGUUGGAAUUGCUGUUGAUGGUUCAAUAGUGAAUUGCCAACUUGGUGGUCCCGGAGCUGAGGAUGCUUGAGAUACAAAGCCCAGAGAUGCAAGUGGAGACUGAAAGGAAGAGGGCUUGGAUGUACGUGGGCUGAGAGUACCAGAGGGGACAUCUACACUGAUGGAAAGGCCAGAGCGGGUGGGAGAGGUCAGUGCAAGAGACUGUCUGGGGAGAGGUGACUGCUCGGAUGGAGAAAGGCGUGGAGGGC
This 591-nucleotide long non-coding RNA is filed under the name Androctonus crassicauda. Lineage: Eukaryota; Metazoa; Arthropoda; Arachnida; Scorpiones; Buthidae. The record is from RNAcentral.